This 107-nucleotide ribosomal RNA is filed under the name Diaphorina citri (Asian citrus psyllid). The record is from RNAcentral. Lineage: Eukaryota; Metazoa; Arthropoda; Insecta; Hemiptera; Psyllidae.
ACAUUAGCAAGUUGAACGCACCAGUUCCCACCUGAUCACGGAAGUUAAGCAACAUUGCACGUGGUUGGCAUCUAGUUAGGUGACCACCUGGGCAAUUAUUAUAAGUA